UCCAGACUCCUACGGGAGGCAGCAGUGGGGAAUAUUGGGCAAUGGGCGCAAGCCUGACCCAGCAACGCCGCGUGAAGGAAGAAGGCUUUCGGGUUGUAAACUUCUUUUAAGAGGGAAGAGCAGAAGACGGUACCUCUUGAAUAAGCCACGGCUAACUACGUGCCAGCAGCCGCGGUAAUACGUAGGUGGCAAGCGUUGUCCGGAUUUACUGGGUGUAAAGGGCGUGUAGCCGGGCUGACAAGUCAGAUGUGAAAUUCCGGGGCUCAACCCCGGACCUGCAUUUGAAACUGUUUCCCUUGAGUGUCGGAGAGGUAAUCGGAAUUCCUUGUGUAGCGGUGAAAUGCGUAGAUAUAAGGAAGAACACCAGUGGCGAAGGCGGAUUACUGGACGAUAACUGACGGUGAGGCGCGAAAGCGUGGGGAGCAAACAGGAUUAGAUACCCCAGUAA
RNAcentral lists this ribosomal RNA (448 nucleotides) under uncultured bacterium. RNAcentral's name for it is "bacterial SSU rRNA". It matches the Rfam family "Bacterial small subunit ribosomal RNA", at positions 330 to 793 of the family's 1533-position model. The record is from RNAcentral.